This 1516-nucleotide ribosomal RNA is filed under the name Clostridium sp. Clone-9. Its description in RNAcentral is "bacterial SSU rRNA". It matches the Rfam family "Bacterial small subunit ribosomal RNA". Lineage: Bacteria; Bacillati; Bacillota; Clostridia; Eubacteriales; Clostridiaceae. The record is from RNAcentral.
GAGUUUGAUCCUGGCUCAGGAUGAACGCUGGCGGCGUGCUUAACACAUGCAAGUCGAGCGAAGCAUAGAUGUGGAAGUUUUCGGAUGGAAGCGUGUAUGACUGAGCGGCGGACGGGUGAGUAACGCGUGGGUAACCUGCCUCAUACAGGGGGAUGACAGUUAGAAAUGACUGCUAAUACCGCAUAAGCGCACAGGACCGCAUGGUCUGGUGUGAAAAACUCCGGUGGUAUGAGAUGGACCCGCGUCUGAUUAGCUGGUUGGUGAGGUAACGGCCCACCAAGGCGACGAUCAGUAGCCGACCUGAGAGGGUGGCCGGCCACAUUGGGACUGAGACACGGCCCAAACUCCUACGGGAGGCAGCAGUGGGGAAUAUUGCACAAUGGGGGAAACCCUGAUGCAGCAACGCCGCGUGAGUGAAGAAGUAUUUCGGUAUGUAAAGCUCUAUCAGCAGGGAAGAGAAUGACGGUACCUGACUAAGAAGCCCCGGCUAACUACGUGCCAGCAGCCGCGGUAAUACGUAGGGGGCAAGCGUUAUCCGGAUUUACUGGGUGUAAGGGAGCGUAGACGGCUGUACAAGUCUGAAGUGAAAGCCCGUGCUCAACCGCGGGAACUGCUUUGGAAACUGUAAGCUGGAGUACUGGAGAGGCAGGCGGAAUUCCCAGUGUAGCGGUGAAAUGCGUAGAUAUUAGGAGGAACACCAAGGUGGCGAAGGCGGCCUGCUGGACAGACUCCUGCGGUUGAGGCUCGAAAGCGUUGGGAGCAAACAGGAUUAGAUACCCUGGUAGUCCACGCGGUAAACGAUGAAUACUAGGUGUUGGUGCAAACCCAUCGGUGCCGUCGCAAACGCAGUAAGUAUUCCACCUGAGGAGUACGUUCGCAAGAAUGAAACUCAAAGGAAUUGACGGGGACCGCACAAGCGGUGGAGCAUGUGGUUUAAUUCGAAGCAACGCGAAGAACCUUACCAAGUCUUGACAUCCCAAUGAAUGUCUGGUAAAGCAGAACAGGCUUCGGGCCAUUGGAGACAGGUGGUGCAUGGUUGUCGUCAGCUCGUGUCGUGAGAUGUUGGGUUAAGUCCCGCAACGAGCGCAACCCUUAUCCUUAGUAGCCAGCGGUCAGGCCGGGCACUCUAGGGAGACUGCCAGGGAGAACCUGGAGGAAGGUGGGGAUGACGUCAAAUCAUCAUGCCCCUUAUGAUUUGGGCUACACACGUGCUACAAUGGCGUAAACAAAGGGAGGCGAAGUGGCGACACGGAGCGAACCCCCAAAAUAACGUCCCAGUUCGGAUUGCAGUCUGCAACUCGACUGCAUGAAGCUGGAAUCGCUAGUAAUCGCGGAUCAGAAUGCCGUGGUGAAUACGUUCCCGGGUCUUGUACACACCGCCCGUCACACCAUGGGAGUCAGUAACGCCCGAAGUCAGUGACCCAACUGAAAAGAGGGAGCUGCCGAAGGGAACGGAUAACUGGGGUGAAGUCGUAACAAGGUAGCCGUAUCGGAAGGUGCGGCUGGAUCACCUCCU